RNAcentral lists this long non-coding RNA (1538 nucleotides) under Struthio camelus australis. RNAcentral describes it as "lncRNA (ENSSCUG00000000540.1)". The record is from RNAcentral. Lineage: Eukaryota; Metazoa; Chordata; Aves; Struthioniformes; Struthionidae.
UGCCAAAGGUCUGCUGGCUCUUUUGUUAGGUAGAGGUUUCUUUCUGUGUUUGCAAGUAUGGGUGGUAAUUUGUUUAUUUGUUUUCCACUGUUUAAAUAAGCAACCUUAAGAACAAAGAUCCUUUAAGGAGAGGCUCUGAGACAGCUCUCCAGAGUAUGAGAGUGAGGGGUUUCUGAUGGGCUGUGAGGCAGAUGCUGGCUACGUGGCAGGUUGUGUACCACAGCCUCCUAAAACUGGGAGGCAUCAGCAACUGCUUCCCCCUGCCGUUUCCUGGAAGGAGGGACUUGCUGAGAUGGUGUCUGCUCCUGACCCAAAGGGUGACCAGGCCAGUGGCAGCAGCAACCAGCUAGCUUCAGCCAGCAGGCUCUCUGCUCAGGUCUUUAAAAAUGUAUUUCAAAGCCACUCUGGAUCAAAAGGAGUUCUGAAGAGGGAUAAAGAAGGGGACAGAAGAGAGAGCUGCAGGAGGAAAAGACAAGCGCUGGCAUGCUUGUAAGUGGGACAGCGUGAGAUUCCCCUUGGACCAGCCAUUUCCGUGAGAUUGCUGUUAAAGGUCCGGCCAGUAUCACUGCAGUGAGUCUACAUGAACGAACUCGUGGAGAACAUCCAACAAGCAGGGCCAAGUCUUACUGGCACUGUCCUGGCAUGUCGCUGGUGGAAACUAUACUGCCAGCUACCUUGAACAACAAAUGAGGGUAAAGCUCCAGCUUGAGGCAUGCACAUUUUUUCCCUAGAAGCGUCCUGAUGCUGUCCGUCACUCAAGCUCCUCAGCACAAAGCACUCUGUGCGAUCGAGCUGCUAGCACCUCCACCCAGUGCUCCCACUGACGACAGAGGGAGUCCCAGUCACAGGGUCCCUGACAGACCGGACCUCUCGCGCCGCGCCCCUGCUUCCCGCAGGCAUUCGUCACAGCGUUCAGCACCGCUUGGCCUAGGUCAGAUGCCUGCGUUAUUCCGCUGGCCAAACCCCUCGCAGUGGGAUACAGUGCUAGCUCUCUCUUUUUGUUUCUCUUUGUUUAUAGUACUCGAUCCAGCUUUCAGGCCAUGCGCAAAUGCUCUGCUCCCAGCCAACUUGAAUUCAUUUCAAGGAAGAUUGCACAAGAAUUCAGCUCUGCUGCUCCGAGCCAGGCCUGCUGGGCUGGCUGUUUUGUUCUCUCGGGCCCCAGUCCUGCCGAAGGACCUGCUGGCACAAACCCCUGGAGGAACAAGGUUCCUGGAUGCUGGUGAGAAACAGGUUGCUAUCUGAUAUAUUGCCCAAAAUUCACAGAAGGAAUCAUUGGCACUGCUGAUUUCAGGGCUGCGAGGCCAAAUCCCGUGUCCCGGUGGCAGGGUGAAUCAGGGCGAUCAGGCACACUGUUUCAGAGCAAAGAAAUGUGGCGUCAAGGCCAAAUGUUGGUGCCUCGCUCCAGAAGAAAUGGAACGGCUGGCUGCAGUGCAGCUACGCAGCGUUUCCAGCAAUUAAUUCAGCGAAAAGGGAGGGAAGAACCAUGGCCCUCCAGGCUAGCCGGGCUUUUUUUUUGGCAUUCCCAAGUACGGUGCCUG